GUUUUUAAAACCAAUUCUGCCAGUUUCCUUCUUCUGAUUGGACUCUGUUAUCCACUUACAGUUCAUGUAAUUAAUGAUAAGGACAGUUUUGCUGGAUAUAGAAUUCUUGGAUGGCAGCACUCCAAAUGUGUCAUCUCGUUGUCACACCGUCCUCAUGGUUUUGAUAAGAAAUCAGCCGUUAAUUUAAUUGAGGAGUUCAUAUACAUGAUGCAAGGAAGAUGAGUAGUUCAGUUGAUGCCAAAAUAUCCAGCUGUGCUUAUGGUAAAGUAGAG
Molecule: long non-coding RNA, 272 nt
Organism: Suricata suricatta (meerkat)
Lineage: Eukaryota; Metazoa; Chordata; Mammalia; Carnivora; Herpestidae
Exons: 3
Source: RefSeq, a predicted model, not a curated record